UACAGAGGUCUCAAGCGUUGUUCGGAUUCAUUGGGCGUAAAGGGUGCGUAGGUGGUGAUGCAAGUCUGGUGUGGAAAUCUCGGAGCUCAACUCCGAAAUUGCACCGGAUACUGCGUGACUCGAGGACUGUAGAGGAGAUCGGAAUUCACGGUGUAGCAGUGAAAUGCGUAGAUAUCGUGAGGAAGACCAGUUGCGAAGGCGGAUCUCUGGGCGUUCCUGACA
Molecule: ribosomal RNA, 222 nt
Filed under: uncultured bacterium
Lineage: Bacteria
Description: partial 16S ribosomal RNA
Rfam family: Bacterial small subunit ribosomal RNA
Source: RNAcentral